RNAcentral lists this transfer RNA (65 nucleotides) under Dyscolus fusipalpis. RNAcentral's name for it is "tRNA-Ala". It matches the Rfam family "tRNA". Rfam says of the family: Transfer RNA (tRNA) molecules are approximately 80 nucleotides in length. Their secondary structure includes four short double-helical elements and three loops (D, anti-codon, and T loops). Further hydrogen bonds mediate the characteristic L-shaped molecular structure. tRNAs have two regions of fundamental functional importance: the anti-codon, which is responsible for specific mRNA codon recognition, and the 3' end, to which the tRNAs corresponding amino acid is attached (by aminoacyl-tRNA synthetases). tRNAs cope with the degeneracy of the genetic code in two manners: having more than one tRNA (with a specific anti-codon) for a particular amino acid; and 'wobble' base-pairing, i.e. permitting non-standard base-pairing at the 3rd anti-codon position. Lineage: Eukaryota; Metazoa; Arthropoda; Insecta; Coleoptera; Carabidae. The record is from RNAcentral.
AGGAUAAUAGUUAAAAAUAACAUUUGAUUUGCAUUCAAAAAGUGUUGGAUUACCAACUUAUCUUA